Molecule: ribosomal RNA, 446 nt
Filed under: uncultured bacterium
Lineage: Bacteria
Description: partial 16S ribosomal RNA
Rfam family: Bacterial small subunit ribosomal RNA
Source: RNAcentral
CCUACGGGGUGCUGCAGUCGAGAAUCAUUCACAAUGGGGGAAACCCUGAUGGUGCGACGCCGCGUGGGGGAAUGAAGGUCUUCGGAUUGUAAACCCCUGUCAUGUGGGAGCAAAUUAAAAAGAUAGUACCACAAGAGGAAGAGACGGCUAACUCUGUGCCAGCAGCCGCGGUAAUACAGAGGUCUCAAGCGUUGUUCGGAAUCACUGGGCGUAAGGCGUGCGUAGGCGGUUUCGUAAGUCGUGUGUGAAAGGCGCGGGCUCAACCCGCGGACGGCACAUGAUACUGCGAGGCUAGAGUAAUGGAGGGGGAACCGGAAUUCUCGGUGUAGCAGUGAAAUGCGUAGAUAUCGAGAGGAACACUCGUGGCGAAGGCGGGUUCCUGGACAUUAACUGACGCUGAGGCACGAAGGCCAGGGGAGCGAAAGGGAUUAGAUACCCUGGUAGUC